CAGUAGCCGCGGUAAAACGAAGGGUGCAAGCGUUACUCGGAAUUACUGGGCGUAAAGCGUGUGUAGGUGGUUGUUUAAGUCUGUCGUGAAAGCCCUGGGCUCAACCUGGGAAUUGCGAUGGAUACUGGGCGACUAGAGUGCGGUAGAGGAUAGUGGAAUUUCCGGUGUAGCAGUGAAAUGCGUAGAGAUCGGAAGGAACAUCUGUGGCGAAGGCGACUAUCUGGGCCAACACUGACACUGAGACACGAAAGCGUGGGGAGCAAACAGGAUUAGAUACCCCCGUAGUCCCUGUCUCUUAUAC
This 301-nucleotide ribosomal RNA is filed under the name uncultured bacterium. Its description in RNAcentral is "partial 16S ribosomal RNA". It matches the Rfam family "Bacterial small subunit ribosomal RNA", at positions 509 to 807 of the family's 1533-position model. The record is from RNAcentral.